RNAcentral lists this ribosomal RNA (253 nucleotides) under uncultured bacterium. Its description in RNAcentral is "partial 16S ribosomal RNA". It matches the Rfam family "Bacterial small subunit ribosomal RNA", at positions 524 to 776 of the family's 1533-position model. The record is from RNAcentral.
UACGGGGGGGGCAAGCGUUGUUCGGAAUUACUGGGCGUAAAGGGCUCGUAGGCGGCCAACUAAGUCAGACGUGAAAUCCCUCGGCUUAACCGGGGAACUGCGUCUGAUACUGGAUGGCUUGAGUUUGGGAGAGGGAUGCGGAAUUCCAGGUGUAGCGGUGAAAUGCGUAGAUAUCGGAAGGAACACCAGUGGCGAAAGCGGCUUCCUGGUCCAGCACCGACGUUCAGGCACGGAAGCGUGGGGAGCAAACAGG